This is a long non-coding RNA of Onychostruthus taczanowskii (white-rumped snowfinch), 1993 nucleotides long. RefSeq lists it as uncharacterized. The record is from RefSeq and is a predicted model, not a curated record. NCBI's taxonomy places the organism in Eukaryota, Metazoa, Chordata, Aves, Passeriformes, Passeridae. The transcript has 4 exons.
CCGGGCUCCCCAGCCACAGCUGCAUCCCGUGCCGAAGGAAGGAGCAGCUUUUCAGUAGGUUUUCCUGAGCCAUGGGCUGGCGGCUGGCCACGCUGCCGGCUCUGGUCCUGCGCCAGAGCUGACAUCCAGCAGACUUUGCUCUCCGGUGCCAGCAGCCGAGCGGCAAGGAGCGCUCCGGGACCCGGCUCGCCCAGCCUGCGGCGUUCUGGGCUGCGAGCUGCCCGGUGGAAGUCACGGCUGAGGAGAGCUCCUGUAAACAGCCUUACCUGCUCCUCACUGCCUGCCAAGUGUCGAGUGCUACUCGGUCAAACCCCCUUCCCAGAGAGCCUCCGGUCUGUUUCCUUGCAUAGCCGAUGCAUUGGGGAAUAUUUGUACAAGUGAUGGUUAUUCCUGCACCUCCUCAGAUGCCCUCCCCUCUCCUGCCUUCUAGAGCAUUGCUCUUUGCAUCUCAGUGGAUUUAUUCUCCUCCUUAUCUAAUUUUAAUUAAAGCUCCUAUCUCCCCCCACCACGUAAUCAACUGAAGAAAAAUGAGCUGUAGCUCAAGGGACUCCAGCCCUGCUGGAGCAGGACAGGACCCAGUGACAGCCUGACAUUGCCCCAGAGGCUUCUUAACUCCUGGAUAACUUCAUCCUCAGCUGCUGAAGCUCUGCAGCAAUUUGAAAACGGAAUCCAGGAAAACAGUCACUCCAGAAAGCCAAAUCACUCCCAGUUUUCCUUUCAGACUGGCUCUGCUGCCCUUUUUACCCUGAAACACCACCCUCUACAGAGCCACAGCAGUAUUUACUGGCACGAGAUAUGCAUGGGAGUUCACAGAAUCAUGUAAUCUCCUGCACUGGAAGAGACCCACAAGCAUCAUCAAGUCCAUCUCCUGACCCUGCACAGGACAGCCCCAGAAUCACAGAGUGUUCCUGAGAGCAUUAGUCAAAUGCUUCUUGAGCCCUGUCAGGCUUGGUGCUGUGACCGUUUCCCUGAGGAACCUGUUCCAGUGCCCAGCUCCCCUCUGGGUUUGGGAAGCCCACUUGGAGUCCUGCAGCACCGCUCUGCAGCCCUGCCUCACCUGUGGGAAGCAAAUCCAGCUGCUGGGAGUCUGGCAGAGGGCAGGACUGAUCCUGUGCCACUGAUCCUGUGUGACACAAAUGCAUUUCUGUGCUUGGACUCUGAAGGACAGCUCUCCUGGCUGGGUUAAGGCUGUGCUGCCAGCAGUAGGAGAGUGAGCAGGCUAGCCAGCCACAUGUACUGGGUUAUAUUUCUGGGCUAAACUCCAGAGCCUUCAAUUUUAUUAUCUAAUUACCCAACCAAACUCAUUCAUCUUUAUUUUUCAGUCUUUCCCACAGAUCCCAGUUAAAAUGCAGCUUUGCUAUCUGAAGUGCUGCCCAGGCACUCUCUGCUUGGAAAAAUUCAUGGUUUCUCAGCUUUAUUCACUCAGACUGUGUUUUCUUAGUGUAAAGGAUGAAUGGCAGAAAUCCCAGCCCUGAUCAGCAGCAGAGGUCUACACCAGGCUGUGCUGAGAGGAAGGUGGCUGCAUUGUCAUGGGCAGCUGUACCAGGGGAAGCAAGAGAAAGAAAAUAAGCCUCUGCUUAAAUGUAGGCUUCAUCCCCAGUGAGACUUGUCAUUAGAUUGCACUCAGGGCUUUGUGGCAUGGCUCACUGCAAUGUCUUCAUUGCAAAGUAUAAACACCAAGAGUUAGUAAAUAAAAGCAACAGGGGGAAAAACUGCACUCCAGAAAUUAAUGAAACAUCAGGAAUACAUCCCUGGACAAUGGAGUCCAAGGGGGAAGAAUACUGGUGUCCCAUCCUUUUUCUCUGCAGGACAUGAGCCCUCCUCUCCAUAUGUUACUGUCGUGUAGAUGUAAUCCGUGUCCCAUGCUGGGGCAGAGCCUCCUGCUUAGCAUAACCCUGCCCCUGGGAGGGGCUUAUCUUGAAAAUAUACUCUCUUUUCUGUGCUCCUUGCCUUUAUUUCCUAAGGGAAUGCACAUGCUGGCAGGUUCGGGGGG